GGAGAGGUGGCCGAGUGGUUUAAGGCACACGCUUGGAAAGCGUGCAUACGGUAAAACGUAUCGCGGGUUCGAAUCCCGCCCUCUCCGCCA
RNAcentral lists this transfer RNA (90 nucleotides) under Alphaproteobacteria bacterium. RNAcentral describes it as "tRNA-Ser". It matches the Rfam family "tRNA". Rfam says of the family: Transfer RNA (tRNA) molecules are approximately 80 nucleotides in length. Their secondary structure includes four short double-helical elements and three loops (D, anti-codon, and T loops). The record is from RNAcentral. RNAcentral also lists the same sequence under 1 other name. Lineage: Bacteria; Pseudomonadati; Pseudomonadota; Alphaproteobacteria.